This 1880-nucleotide ribosomal RNA is filed under the name Salmonella enterica. RNAcentral's name for it is "partial 23S ribosomal RNA". It matches the Rfam family "Bacterial large subunit ribosomal RNA", at positions 1 to 1897 of the family's 2925-position model. The record is from RNAcentral. Lineage: Bacteria; Pseudomonadati; Pseudomonadota; Gammaproteobacteria; Enterobacterales; Enterobacteriaceae.
GGGUUGUGAGGUUAAGCGACUAAGCGUACACGGUGGAUGCCCUGGCAGUCAGAGGCGAUGAAGGACGUGCUAAUCUGCGAUAAGCGUCGGUAAGGUGAUAUGAACCGUUAUAACCGGCGAUUUCCGAAUGGGGAAACCCAGUGCAAUUCGUUGCACUAUCGUUAAGUGAAUACAUAGCUUAACGAAGCGAACCGGGGGAACUGAAACAUCUAAGUACCCCGAGGAAAAGAAAUCAACCGAGAUUCCCCCAGUAGCGGCGAGCGAACGGGGAGCAGCCCAGAGUCUGAAUCAGCAUGUGUGUUAGUGGAAGCGUCUGGAAAGUCGCACGAUACAGGGUGAAAGUCCCGUACACCAAAAUGCACAUGUUGUGAACUCGAAGAGUAGGGCGGGACACGUGGUAUCCUGUCUGAAUAUGGGGGGACCAUCCUCCAAGGCUAAAUACUCCUGACUGACCGAUAGUGAACCAGUACCGUGAGGGAAAGGCGAAAAGAACCCCGGCGAGGGGAGUGAAAAAGAACCUGAAACCGUGUACGUACAAGCAGUGGGAGCCUCUUUAUGGGGUGACUGCGUACCUUUUGUAUAAUGGGUCAGCGACUUAUAUUCUGUAGCAAGGUUAACCGAAUAGGGGAGCCGAAGGGAAACCGAGUCUUAACUGGGCGUUAAGUUGCAGGGUAUAGACCCGAAACCCGGUGAUCUAGCCAUGGGCAGGUUGAAGGUUGGGUAACACUAACUGGAGGACCGAACCGACUAAUGUUGAAAAAUUAGCGGAUGACCUGUGGCUGGGGGUGAAAGGCCAAUCAAACCGGGAGAUAGCUGGUUCUCCCCGAAAGCUAUUUAGGUAGCGCCUCGUGAAUUCAUCUUCGGGGGUAGAGCACUGUUUCGGCUAGGGGGUCAUCCCGACUUACCAACCCGAUGCAAACUACGAAUACCGAAGAAUGUUAUCACGGGAGACACACGGCGGGUGCUAACGUCCGUCGUGAAGAGGGAAACAACCCAGACCGCCAGCUAAGGUCCCAAAGUCACAGUUAAGUGGGAAACGAUGUGGGAAGGCUCAGACAGCCAGGAUGUUGGCUUAGAAGCAGCCAUCAUUUAAAGAAAGCGUAAUAGCUCACUGGUCGAGUCGGCCUGCGCGGAAGAUGUAACGGGGCUAAACUGUGCACCGAAGCUGCGGCAGCGACACUAUGUGUUGUUGGGUAGGGGAGCGUUCUGUAAGCCGUUGAAGGUGUGUCGUGAGGCAUGCUGGAGGUAUCAGAAGUGCGAAUGCUGACAUAAGUAACGAUAAAGCGGGUGAAAAACCCGCUCGCCGGAAGACCAAGGGUUCCUGUCCAACGUUAAUCGGGGCAGGGUGAGUCGACCCCUAAGGCGAGGCCGAAAGGCGUAGUCGAUGGGAAACAGGUUAAUAUUCCUGUACUUGGUGUUACUGCGAAGGGGGGACGGAGAAGGCUAUGUUGGCCGGGCGACGGUUGUCCCGGUUUAAGCGUGUAGGUUUGCAGACCAGGUAAAUCCGGUCUGCUUCAAGACUGAGACGUGAUGACGAGGCACUACGGUGCUGAAGUAACAAAUGCCCUGCUUCCAGGAAAAGCCUCUAAGCAUCAGGUAACACGAAAUCGUACCCCAAACCGACACAGGUGGUCAGGUAGAGAAUACCAAGGCGCUUGAGAGAACUCGGGUGAAGGAACUAGGCAAAAUGGUGCCGUAACUUCGGGAGAAGGCACGCUGAUACGUAGGUGAAGCGGUUUACCCGUGGAGCUGAAAUCAGUCGAAGAUACCAGCUGGCUGCAACUGUUUAUUAAAAACACAGCACUGUGCAAACACGAAAGUGGACGUAUACGGUGUGACGCCUGCCCGGUGCCGGAAGGUUAAUUGAUGGGGUCAGCGCA